AUGCAAGUCGAACGCUGAAGCCCCAGCUUGCUGGGGUGGAUGAGUGGCGAACGGGUGAGUAACACGUGAGUAACCUGCCCCUGACUUCGGGAUAAGCCCGGGAAACUGGGUCUAAUACCGGAUACGACUGCCGGACGCAUGUCUGGUGGUGGAAAGUUUUUUCGGUUGGGGAUGGGCUCGCGGCCUAUCAGUUUGUUGGUGAGGUAAUGGCUCACCAAGACGACGACGGGUAGCCGGCCUGAGAGGGCGACCGGCCACACUGGGACUGAGACACGGCCCAGACUCCUACGGGAGGCAGCAGUGGGGAAUAUUGCACAAUGGGGGAAACCCUGAUGCAGCGACGCAGCGUGCGGGAUGACGGCCUUCGGGUUGUAAACCGCUUUCAGCAGGGAAGAAGCCUUCGGGUGACGGUACCUGCAGAAGAAGUACCGGCUAACUACGUGCCAGCAGCCGCGGUAAUACGUAGGGUACGAGCGUUGUCCGGAAUUAUUGGGCGUAAAGAGCUCGUAGGUGGUUGGUCACGUCUGCUGUGGAAACGCAACGCUUAACGUUGCGCGUGCAGUGGGUACGGGCUGACUAGAGUGCAGUAGGGGAGUCUGGAAUUCCUGGUGUAGCGGUGAAAUGCGCAGAUAUCAGGAGGAACACCGGUGGCGAAGGCGGGACUCUGGGCUGUAACUGACACUGAGGAGCGAAAGCAUGGGGAGCGAACAGGAUUAGAUACCCUGGUAGUCCAUGCCGUAAACGUUGGGCACUAGGUGUGGGGGGCAUUCCACGUUCUCCGCGCCGUAGCUAACGCAUUAAGUGCCCCGCCUGGGGAGUACGGUCGCAAGGCUAAAACUCAAAGGAAUUGACGGGGGCCCGCACAAGCGGCGGAGCAUGCGGAUUAAUUCGAUGCAACGCGAAGAACCUUACCAAGGCUUGACAUACACCAGACCGGUCUGGAAACAGGUCUUCCCCUUUGGGGUUGGUGUACAGGUGGUGCAUGGUUGUCGUCAGCUCGUGUCGUGAGAUGUUGGGUUAAGUCCCGCAACGAGCGCAACCCUCGUUCUAUGUUGCCAGCACGUGAUGGUGGGAACUCAUAGGAGACUGCCGGGGUCAACUCGGAGGAAGGUGGGGAUGACGUCAAAUCAUCAUGCCCUUUAUGUCUUGGGCUUCACGCAUGCUACAAUGGCUGGUACAGAGAGAGGCGAACCCGUGAGGGCAAGCGAAUCCCUUAAAGCCAGUCUCAGUUCGGAUCGUAGUCUGCAAUUCGACUACGUGAAGUCGGAGUCGCUAGUAAUCGCAGAUCAGCAACGCUGCGGUGAAUACGUUCCCGGGCCUUGUACACACCGCCCGUCAAGUCACGAAAGUCGGUAACACCCGAAGCCGGUGGCCUAACCCCUU
Molecule: ribosomal RNA, 1383 nt
Filed under: Brevibacterium sp. a13
Lineage: Bacteria; Bacillati; Actinomycetota; Actinomycetes; Micrococcales; Brevibacteriaceae
Description: bacterial SSU rRNA
Rfam family: Bacterial small subunit ribosomal RNA
Source: RNAcentral